CCUACGGGGGGCUGCAGUGGGGAAUAUUGGACAAUGGGGGCAACCCUGAUCCAGCCAUGCCGCGUGUGUGAAGAAGGCCCUCGGGUUGUAAAGCACUUUCAGUGAGGAAGAACGCCUGGUGGUUUAUACCCAUCAGGAAAGACAUCACUCACAGAAGAAGCACCGGCUAACUCCGUGCCAGCAGCCGCGGUAAUACGGAGGGUGCGAGCGUUAAUCGGAAUUACUGGGCGUAAAGCGCGCGUAGGUGGCUUGAUAAGCCGGUUGUGAAAGCCCCGGGCUCAACCUGGGAACGGCAUCCGGAACUGUCAAGCUAGAGUGCAGGAGAGGAAGGUAGAAUUCCCGGUGUAGCGGUGAAAUGCGUAGAGAUCGGGAGGAAUACCAGUGGCGAAGGCGGCCUUCUGGACUGACACUGACACUGAGGUGCGAAAGCGUGGGUAGCAAACAGGAUUAGAUACCCCUGUAGUC
RNAcentral lists this ribosomal RNA (465 nucleotides) under Vreelandella stevensii. RNAcentral's name for it is "partial 16S ribosomal RNA". It matches the Rfam family "Bacterial small subunit ribosomal RNA", at positions 338 to 795 of the family's 1533-position model. Lineage: Bacteria; Pseudomonadati; Pseudomonadota; Gammaproteobacteria; Oceanospirillales; Halomonadaceae. The record is from RNAcentral.